AUUUAGCAUGGGGGAACCUGACCGCAAUGCCGCGUGUGUGAUGAAGGCCUUCGGGUUGUAAAGCACUUUUGUCAGGGACGAUGAUGACGGUACCUGACGAAUAAGCUCCGGCUAACUUCGUGCCAGCAGCCGCGGUAAUACGAGGGGAGCUAGCGUUGUUCGGAAUUACUGGGCGUAAAGGGCGUGUAGGCGGUACCAUAAGUCAGAUGUGAAAGCCCUAGGCUUAACCUAGGAGGUGCAUUUGAUACUGUGGAACUAGAGAUCGAGAGAGGUAAGUGGAAUUACGAGUGUAGAGGUGAAAUUCGUAGAUAUUCGUAAGAACACCAGUGGCGAAGGCGACUUACUGGCUCGAUACUGACGCUAAGGCGCGAAA
Molecule: ribosomal RNA, 373 nt
Filed under: uncultured bacterium
Lineage: Bacteria
Description: bacterial SSU rRNA
Rfam family: Bacterial small subunit ribosomal RNA
Source: RNAcentral